CUAAGGUGAAGUCCCAAGGGCUCACCAGUUGGGUCCACGCUUCACACUGCAAGAAGACCUCACCACCCUUGGACCCCACCAGUAUACCCUUGUGCCCUGCGG
Chelonoidis abingdonii (Abingdon island giant tortoise) is the source of this 102-nucleotide non-coding RNA. The record is from RefSeq and is a predicted model, not a curated record. Lineage: Eukaryota; Metazoa; Chordata; Testudines; Testudinidae.